GUGCAAUUAUCCUCCUGCUGAACUGUACCCAAUCUAUGCUCAGAAAUCAACCACCAACCUUCUUGAGAAGUUUAAGAGCAUGCAAAUUGAUGAAAACGACGAUCCAACUGAAAAUGGACAGCACGAUCAUGAGGAGACUCUGGGGAACGAGGAAAAUCAUGGACAAGAAGCUGUGGUUGAAGAGGACGCUAGUUCCACAAAUGGUAUUGUUAUUUUAGAUAGUAAGGAGGAUGAAGAAGAAUUGGGAGCAAAGGAUGAGAACAGUUCACCACAAAAAUUGGAAGUUAAAGACGAGAGCACUUCAGCAGAUGAAUUGGAAGCAAAGUAUGAGAACACUUCACCAUCCUAAGGUGAUGCUUUGCUGAAAGUAUGAAGUGAACAUAGGAUACAUUACCAGUUCCACAGGACAAGCUAGGUCCAGCUGUUAUACGCAUAUCUUCUGGUGAGAAAAAUGUUUCUACUUUAGCUUAUUUUUCAUU
Long non-coding RNA from Humulus lupulus (European hop), 479 nucleotides. RefSeq lists it as uncharacterized. NCBI's taxonomy places the organism in Eukaryota, Viridiplantae, Streptophyta, Magnoliopsida, Rosales, Cannabaceae. The transcript is spliced from 3 exons. The record is from RefSeq and is a predicted model, not a curated record.